RNAcentral lists this transfer-messenger RNA (400 nucleotides) under Muribaculaceae bacterium. It matches the Rfam family "transfer-messenger RNA". From Rfam's summary of the family: Bacterial tmRNA, also known as 10Sa RNA or SsrA, is named for its dual tRNA and mRNA-like properties. Lineage: Bacteria; Pseudomonadati; Bacteroidota; Bacteroidia; Bacteroidales; Muribaculaceae. The record is from RNAcentral.
GGGGUUGACCGGUUUUGACAGCGUGUAGAAGUGGUAUGUAAGCAUGCAGAGCAAUGAUGGCUACGCUCUAUAAUAUGGGACAUCAAAAUUUUAAAUGGCGAAAAUAACUACGCUCUUGCUGCUUAAUCGAAGUACAGUAGAUUAGCUUAAUCGCCGCAACAGUUGCAGCGACAAGACAUCGCCCGAUUGUCCUUUUUCCGAGACGGAUCGACAAGGCGGUGCAGGUAAAUCGGAAAUAGGAUGUCAAGAGUCUCGCGCGAUAUCCGAAACUUCAAGAGAAUAAGGCAGACAUUGGUCGUUUCUUGCCUGUGUCAGCACGAAAAUCAAAUAGAAACUAAGCAUGUAGAAAGCCUAUUAGUUCCACGUUUGGACGAGGGUUCGAAUCCCUCCAGCUCCACUU